This 316-nucleotide long non-coding RNA is filed under the name Oryza brachyantha (malo sina). RNAcentral's name for it is "long non-coding RNA (OBRA_LNC001027)". Lineage: Eukaryota; Viridiplantae; Streptophyta; Magnoliopsida; Poales; Poaceae. The record is from RNAcentral.
CCUUGGGCCGACGUGGCCCAGUCCGCCACCCCCACCGGCUUGGCCCAUCCCCCCACCUCCCUGGCGCAAGCAACCAGGCCGGCUUGGCCCAUGGCAGGCAGCGGCCCAACCUGGCUCAGCCCAAGGCCGGCUCUCCUCCCCGCAGGCCGACGCGCCUCCAUCCGGUGGUGGGCUGAAAUUCAACAUUUUGGCCCACCACCACUUUUAUUAGUUUUUAUUUACCGUUAGCUUUUUAAAUAUUAGUUUGAAUUAGUUUUUAGUCCCUUUAAUUUCUGCAAUUUACUAAAAGCAGUUUGUCAGUGUCAUUACCUUCAUA